UUACCGAGUGCGGGUCCUUUGGGCCCAACCUCCCAUCCGUGUCUAUUGUACCCUGUUGCUUCGGCGGGCCCGCCGCUUGUCGGCCGCCGGGGGGGCGCCUCUGCCCCCCGGGCCCGUGCCCGCCGGAGACCCCAACACGAACACUGUCUGAAAGCGUGCAGUCUGAGUUGAUUGAAUGCAAUCAGUUAAAACUUUCAACAAUGGAUCUCUUGGUUCCGGCAUCGAUGAAGAACGCAGCGAAAUGCGAUAACUAAUGUGAAUUGCAGAAUUCAGUGAAUCAUCGAGUCUUUGAACGCACAUUGCGCCCCCUGGUAUUCCGGGGGGCAUGCCUGUCCGAGCGUCAUUGCUGCCCUCAAGCCCGGCUUGUGUGUUGGGUCGCCGUCCCCCCGGAGAGGGGGACGGGCCCGAAAGGCAGCGGCGGCACCGCGUCCGAUCCUCGAGCGUAUGGGGCUUUGUCACAUGCUCUGUAGGAUUGGCCGGCGCCUGCCGACGUUUUCCAACCAUUCUUUCCAGGUUGACCUCGGAUCAGGUAGGGAUACCCG
Molecule: ribosomal RNA, 542 nt
Filed under: Aspergillus niger
Lineage: Eukaryota; Fungi; Ascomycota; Eurotiomycetes; Eurotiales; Aspergillaceae
Description: eukaryotic LSU rRNA
Rfam family: 5.8S ribosomal RNA (bases 190-343)
Source: RNAcentral